UACGAAGGGUGCAAGCGUUAAUCGGAAUUACUGGGCGUAAAGCGCGCGCAGGCGGUUAUAUAAGACAGAUGUGAAAUCCCCGGGCUCAACCUGGGAACUGCAUUUGUGACUGUAUAGCUAGAGUACGGCAGAGGGGGAUGGAAUUCCGCGUGUAGCAGUGAAAUGCGUAGAUAUGCGGAGGAACACCAAUGGCGAAGGCAAUCCCCUGGGCCUGUACUGACGCUCAUGCACGAAAGCGUGGGGAGCAAACAGG
Molecule: ribosomal RNA, 253 nt
Filed under: uncultured bacterium
Lineage: Bacteria
Description: partial 16S ribosomal RNA
Rfam family: Bacterial small subunit ribosomal RNA
Source: RNAcentral